ACCCCAGCGAGGCCACCUCUGCCAUGGGGGCCCUGGUCAGGGCUCCUUGGCGGCCCUGGGCCUGGUUCUUAAAGCCCCUCUGCUGCUUCCUGCCCCUCCCUCCGACUGGGACCCCAGGUGUGACUCUGGUUGACUUUUGAGGGAGAGGGACCUUGUCACCCUUCCAGGGUCCCCUCCCCUCCCUUCCAGCCCCCACAUCCCUGCUUCUGGCGCUCUGUGGGGACACUAUGCACUACCCCAUGGGCACCCUCUGUGCACAUGAAAAGCAGGCUCGGGUAGGUGACGGCACUCGGCGGUGUCCCUGCCACACAGACACCUCCCCCUGUCCUCGUGGGGGAGCCCCACACUGGGGUCAGGGCUGGGCCCUGUGGUCAGGGCUGGGCCGCUGUGGUGGGGUGCAGGUCUGGCAGCAGGAGGGGCACCAGGGCCGGCUGGCGUCCGGGAGGACGAAGUCAACUGGAGAGGGCGAGGGGUCCGCUCGGCCACUUCCUUCGUCACCAGAGUCCUAAUCUAGCCACACAUGCAAGGAAGGAGGGAUCAGCCAGGAAGUGACCAUGCAGAGUCCUGGACAGAGCCAGCCUCCGAGCCUGAGAGGGGACUGAGGCUGAGAGCUGCGGUGGGGUCAAGGGACUCCGCACCAGCACCCAGUUGUCCCUCAGCCCAUGCCUGUGUCUCCUGGCAACGGAGAUGGGGGCAGGCAUCCUCCACAAGCAGAAGAGGAGCCAAGUUUCCUGUCCAGGAAUUCAGGCGAGAUGCUCACGCUCAGGAAGACGUCUGGCCCGCGAUGCUCACGGCAGCCCUGGGAAGGGGGGCCGGGAUGUGCCCGGCAACAGCCCCUCCAUGGGACGACGCUGUGACAGCACCAGCAGAGCCCCUGUGAGGACAUGUGACAUCCCCAUUCCUGUCGGGCGGUGUCCUGGCCCCUCUCCUUGGGGAGAGAGCUGGGGCCUGCUUUUCUCCGACUGGUUCUUUGUACUUUGGAAUUUCCCACGUCCUGUGUUACUUGCCAUAAAAACUGACAUUAUUUUUAAAAUGCCGACUAUUAGCCUUGAAAAGGGAGGAUCUGUAACAUGGAGGGACUUGAGGACGUGAUGCUGGGUGACAGAAGCCACAAAAAGACACACACUGCCCACUCCACCCUGUGAGGUCCUGGAGCUGUCAAGUUCAGACAGAAAGUGGAGGGGCGGGGCGGGACCGGGCUGAGGCUUCCCUGGGGACAGUUUUAUCGGAUAGGGGCACUCUGGAGAUGGUGGUGACAGCGCAGGACAUUGUGAUUGUGCUCAGGGCCCUAGUGGCACACUGAAAAAUGGUCACAAUGGUAAAUUUAUAUGAUAUUGAUUUAUCUAUAUUGUACCUGUUUUUUAAAAAUAUUUUUUUAAACAGAAAAUUUGGCAAAGAGA
Molecule: long non-coding RNA, 1400 nt
Organism: Ictidomys tridecemlineatus (thirteen-lined ground squirrel)
Lineage: Eukaryota; Metazoa; Chordata; Mammalia; Rodentia; Sciuridae
Source: RefSeq, a predicted model, not a curated record